Non-coding RNA from Solibacillus silvestris StLB046, 198 nucleotides. It matches the Rfam family "6S / SsrS RNA". From Rfam's summary of the family: E. coli 6S RNA was the first non coding RNA to be sequenced, but its function was unknown until recently. The record is from Rfam. NCBI's taxonomy places the organism in Bacteria, Bacillati, Bacillota, Bacilli, Caryophanales, Caryophanaceae.
CGAAUCCUGAUGUGUUCGUCGCUAUAUUUGUUACUAAACACUUUUGACCGAACAAUAAAUCGUUGGGAGCUACUAUUACCGUAGAAGCAAACAUGCCCCAUUUGGAGCGGGAAGUUUAACGCUGCGAUUAGUGCACCCCCUUGCUAUAGACGCGGGAUCAAAACGAUGUUGUAGCAAGACGGCAUUUUUGGGAUUCGU